CAGUCGCCGCGGUAAUACGUAGGUGGCAAGCGUUGUCCGGAAUUAUUGGGCGUAAAGGGCUCGCAGGCGGUUUCUUAAGUCUGAUGUGAAAGCCCCCGGCUCAACCGGGGAGGGUCAUUGGAAACUGGGAAACUUGAGUGCAGAAGAGGAGAGUGGAAUUCCACGUGUAGCGGUGAAAUGCGUAGAGAUGUGGAGGAACACCAGUGGCGAAGGCGACUCUCUGGUCUGUAACUGACGCUGAGGAGCGAAAGCGUGGGGAGCAAACGGGAUUAGAUACCCGCGUAGUCCCUGUCUCUUAUAC
RNAcentral lists this ribosomal RNA (301 nucleotides) under uncultured bacterium. RNAcentral's name for it is "partial 16S ribosomal RNA". It matches the Rfam family "Bacterial small subunit ribosomal RNA", at positions 509 to 807 of the family's 1533-position model. The record is from RNAcentral.